AUGGCACAAUUAUCUCGCAUCCCGGUGGCUCUUCUCCUCGUCCUAGUCGCCGGGGAGGCAGCCGCCACGCCGUACGCCCGCGGCAGGGACGCCCAGCUGGCCAGCAGCUACAGCCGCGUCUUCAGCUUCGGCGACUCGCUUACCGACACGGGGAACGCGGCCAUCCUCCCGGCCACCGCCGGGGGGCCCUCCUCCCACGCGCCGUACGGGGAGACCUACUUCCACCACCCCAGCGGCCGGGCGUCCGACGGCCGGCUCAUCAUCGACUUCAUCGUGGAGUCGCUGGGGUUGCCGGAACCAGCUCCCUACCUCGCCGGCGAGACCGCGGAUGACUUCCGGCAUGGCGCGAACUUCGCGGUGGGCGGCGCGACGGCGCUCGACCCGGCGUUCUUGAAGAGCAGAGGGAUAGCGACGUUUGUGCCGGUGUCUCUUAGCAACGAGACGAGCUGGUUCAACAAUGUCUUGGAGCUUCUUGCCUCCACGGCGUACGAAGAAGAGAGCGAUAUCAUGGCGACCUCCGUCUUCUACUUCGGAGAGAUCGGAGUAAACGACUACAUCUUCGCGCUAUUCAGCAACCGCACAGCCGAAUUCGCGGCGAGCUUUGUGCCGGACAUCGUCGCCGUCACCCGUUCGGCGCUGAACGCCGUGGUCGCCGCCGGUGCAAGGACGGUGCUGGUGACGGGGAUGAUCCCGCUGGGGUGCGAGCCGGAGCUGCUCGCCCUCUUCCCCGGCGACGCGCACGGGGAGUCCGGCUGCAUCACGGGGUUCAACGAGAUCGCCCAGCUGCACAACCGCGCGCUCAACUGCAUGCUCCGCGAGCUCCGGCGGAGCCACCCCGGCACGACCCUCUUCUACGCGGACAUCUACAGCCCCAUCGCCAACCUCGUCGCGUCGCCCGGCAAAUACGGUUUCGGCGACAGGCCGUUGGCCGCGUUCUGCGGCGGCGGCGCUGGCCCGUACCACUUCGACAUGGCGGCGUUCUGCGGCACUUCGGACUCGACGGCGAGCUCCGACCCGUCCGAGUUCCUCUCGUGGGACGGCAUCCACUUCACCGACGCUGCCAACAGGUUCAUCGCCCAGGCGCUGCUCAGAGGAUUGUAUAACGCGUCGGCGAUGGCAGAGCCACAAACUGCACUGUUCUGA
This 1143-nucleotide ribosomal RNA is filed under the name Triticum aestivum (bread wheat). RNAcentral describes it as "partial small subunit ribosomal RNA". The record is from RNAcentral. Lineage: Eukaryota; Viridiplantae; Streptophyta; Magnoliopsida; Poales; Poaceae.